Molecule: ribosomal RNA, 397 nt
Filed under: Escherichia coli
Lineage: Bacteria; Pseudomonadati; Pseudomonadota; Gammaproteobacteria; Enterobacterales; Enterobacteriaceae
Description: partial 23S ribosomal RNA
Rfam family: Bacterial large subunit ribosomal RNA
Source: RNAcentral
GAAUGCUGACAUAAGUAACGAUAAAGCGGGUGAAAAGCCCGCUCGCCGGAAGACCAAGGGUUCCUGUCCAACGUUAAUCGGGGCAGGGUGAGUCGACCCCUAAGGCGAGGCCGAAAGGCGUAGUCGAUGGGAAACAGGUUAAUAUUCCUGUACUUGGUGUUACUGCGAAGGGGGGACGGAGAAGGCUAUGUUGGCCGGGCGACGGUUGUCCCGGUUUAAGCGUGUAGGCUGGUUUUCCAGGCAAAUCCGGAAAAUCAAGGCUGAGGCGUGAUGACGAGGCACUACGGUGCUGAAGCGACAAAUGCCCUGCUUCCAGGAAAAGCCUCUAAGCAUCAGGUAACAUCAAAUCGUACCCCAAACCGACACAGGUGGUCAGGUAGAGAAUACCAAGGCGCUU